UAAGAUUUUAAGUUAACAAAACUGUAUGCCUUCAAAGCAUAAUAUAAUUUCAAUUAAAUCUUAG
Molecule: transfer RNA, 64 nt
Filed under: Ornithodoros moubata
Lineage: Eukaryota; Metazoa; Arthropoda; Arachnida; Ixodida; Argasidae
Also listed under: 1 other name
Description: tRNA-Trp
Source: RNAcentral